Molecule: transfer RNA, 73 nt
Filed under: Stegodyphus mimosarum
Lineage: Eukaryota; Metazoa; Arthropoda; Arachnida; Araneae; Eresidae
Rfam family: tRNA
About the family: Transfer RNA (tRNA) molecules are approximately 80 nucleotides in length. Their secondary structure includes four short double-helical elements and three loops (D, anti-codon, and T loops). Further hydrogen bonds mediate the characteristic L-shaped molecular structure. tRNAs have two regions of fundamental functional importance: the anti-codon, which is responsible for specific mRNA codon recognition, and the 3' end, to which the tRNAs corresponding amino acid is attached (by aminoacyl-tRNA synthetases). tRNAs cope with the degeneracy of the genetic code in two manners: having more than one tRNA (with a specific anti-codon) for a particular amino acid; and 'wobble' base-pairing, i.e. permitting non-standard base-pairing at the 3rd anti-codon position.
Source: Rfam by way of RNAcentral
GCCUUUGUGGUGUAGUGGUCAGCACGCUCGACGCGUAACCGAGAGGUCCGUGGUUCGAUUCCCGGCGAAGGGU